GACGAACGCUGGCGGCGUGCUUAACACAUGCAAGUCGAACGGAAAGGCCCUGCUUUUGUGGGGUGCUCGAGUGGCGAACGGGUGAGUAACACGUGAGUAACCUGCCCUUGACUUUGGGAUAACUUCAGGAAACUGGGGCUAAUACCGGAUAGGAGCUCCUGCUGCAUGGUGGGGGUUGGAAAGUUUCGGCGGUUGGGGAUGGACUCGCGGCUUAUCCGCUUGUUGGUGGGGUAGUGGCUUACCAAGGCUUUGACGGGUAGCCGGCCUGAGGGGGUGACCGGCCCCAUUGGGACGGAGAUACGGCCCAGACUCCUACGGGAGGCAGCAGUGGGGAAUAUUGCACAAUGGGCGGAAGCCUGAUGCAGCAACGCCGCGUGCGGGAUGACGGCCUUCGGUUUGUAAACCGCUUUCGCCUGUGACGAAGCGUGAGUGACGGUAAUGGGUAAAGAAGCACCGGCUAACUACGUG
RNAcentral lists this ribosomal RNA (468 nucleotides) under uncultured bacterium. Its description in RNAcentral is "partial 16S ribosomal RNA". It matches the Rfam family "Bacterial small subunit ribosomal RNA", at positions 28 to 507 of the family's 1533-position model. The record is from RNAcentral.